GAUGAACGCUGGCGGCGUGCUUAACACAUGCAAGUCGAACGGAAAUAUUAGGUAGGAAUCAGAGAGUUUACUUGAAGAGGAAUUUUUAAUAUUUUAGUGGCGGACGGGUGAGUAACGCGUGGAUAACCUGCCUUAUACUGGGGGAUAACACUUAGAAAUAGGUGCUAAUACCGCAUAAGCGCACAGAACCGCAUGGUUCAGUGUGAAAAACUCUGGUGGUAUAAGAUGGAUCCGCGUCUGAUUAGUUAGUUGGUGAGGUAAUGGCUCACCAAGACAGCGAUCAGUAGCCGGCCUGAGAGGGUGAACGGCCACAUUGGGACUGAGACACGGCCCAAACUCCUACGGGAGGCAGCAGUGGGGAAUAUUGCACAAUGGGGGAAACCCUGAUGCAGCGACGCCGCGUGAGUGAAGAAGUAUUUCGGUACGUAAAGCUCUAUCAGCAAGGAAGAAAAUGACGGUACUUGACUAAGAAGCCCCGGCUAACUACGUGCCAGCAGCCGCGGUAAUAC
RNAcentral lists this ribosomal RNA (509 nucleotides) under uncultured bacterium. RNAcentral's name for it is "bacterial SSU rRNA". It matches the Rfam family "Bacterial small subunit ribosomal RNA", at positions 28 to 526 of the family's 1533-position model. The record is from RNAcentral.